AAAACCGCCCUUUUCAGGGCGACAAAUUAAAUUCACAUAAAGAGUUU
Lutzomyia longipalpis is the source of this 47-nucleotide non-coding RNA. NCBI's taxonomy places the organism in Eukaryota, Metazoa, Arthropoda, Insecta, Diptera, Psychodidae. The record is from Rfam.